GACAGAAACAGUGACCAAAUAAUUCAUUACCUUAUCUACAUGUGAAGGAAGAUUUUUGGCCUGCACUUUCACAGCUGAUAUUAUAAAAAUCAGCUUAUGACAUUAACAUGUUUCAAGCGUUUUAAUUUACUUUUAUUUGUGAAGUUUAUCUAUCACAUGUGGAGACAUACGCACAUACGAAACGGCAAAAAGACGCUAAAAUCUGGGUUAAGAGCAAAAAACUACCUGCGCCAAUCAGUUUUUGCCAUUUAUGGGCUUUACCCUAUAAAAGAAAACCGUUUUAUGCAUUUAAAUGACCUUACACGUUAUCAGUUUAUUAAGCGUUUAGACUAUGUAGACACAAUGUGCACUAAGAUAAAAAAAUUGGUUAACACGACCACUCGUGGUGGCUUCACUCAGAGGUUGGAGAAGACAACCGGUGGACUAAACAUCAAGCCUCUGCACGAUUCAGGUAAGUGGAAUAAAAUACAUUGUAAAUAAACAUUAUUAAAACAGAUUGUAAAGUCAUUCAUUCAAAACUUGCUAUGACCUAAGCCUAAAUGACUUAAUUUCUUUUUAGAAUUAAGACAACCUUAGCAGGAGAGCCCCAGCAGUAACUUUCUCUCAAGCAGAUGAACAAUAAGUUGCUUUGUAUGAACACCACCCUAACAAUCAAGUUUUCUACAGUAGUCUGUUAACAGUAGACCAAAGGUAUGAUGAUCAAUUUUAAAUGCAAUAUGGUUGAAAGGUCAGUAAACAAACAACAAAAAGGUAAUUUCUUAAUAGAAUGUCUGUACAUUUUUUGCUUUUGUUACAUAUUUCAUACAUCAAAAUCCUUAAACGUUAAUAAUUAUGUAUUCCAACUUGUUGCAGCUUGACAAAAAUGUAGCUUGAAGGAGAAGGGACAGCUGAGAAACAAAGUCCUGGUACGCAGACGACAAUACUAUAACACUGACAAGAGUAUAAUGAUGAUGGAGACGGAGACACAAGCCAGAGAAAGGGUGGACCAAACACCAGGCCAGAAUUCUGCAUGAGUCAGAUCCAGUGGGUGCAGAUCAUCAUACAGAUGGUUCAAGUGUGGAUCCACCUAAUAUUCAAGGUUUUCUGUCCUGGGACACUCGGCUAACCAUCAAGAAAGAACACACUCCAGUGGGCAUCCUUUAUCCAUCCAGACCCUCAUACAGAUGGUUGGAGUUUUGAUUCUCCUAAAGUACCAUGCAAGAGCACUCUUUUUCACUCUUGAGACCAUGGUGUGACCUGCAAGGUCGAAUGGAGACUGUAAACGAGACAAUCUUGGAGUCACCUGCAUUCACUGGUCCAGUUAGUCCAAUUACAGAUGGAGAUUAUAGAAGAGGAUGAUGUCUUUUCUCCAACAUCUUUCUAGACUGAUAAAAGAUCUAGACAGGCUUGAACAAAAGUUAACAGAGGGGCUUAUAUAGAGAAUGGUGAGCAGCUACACAUAAAAGAAGAACAUGGAGAAUCUGCCCAGAGGUGUUAACCAGCAAUGCAGCUAUACAACUAAAUUGAUGCAGGCGGAAACAAUGUGUAAUGCAGCUGCUGCAGAAGAAGAAUCCGUCCGUCUACCACUGAAGGAGACGCGGAAAUUCCUUCCAAGAUGUUCUUUGCCCGAGGAAGCAUUUGAUUAAUUUAAAGAUAUUGUGUUUCUUUGUAUGUUAUAGAAAAACGUUGCUUUUUUUGCAUACACUCGUGUAAAUAUGCAUGUUAUGAAUGUUUUUCUUUUGUCUAAUUUAAAUAAAUUUUACGCAAUCAA
Molecule: non-coding RNA, 1750 nt
Organism: Misgurnus anguillicaudatus (oriental weatherfish)
Lineage: Eukaryota; Metazoa; Chordata; Actinopteri; Cypriniformes; Cobitidae
Source: RefSeq, a predicted model, not a curated record